Molecule: unclassified non-coding RNA, 240 nt
Filed under: soil metagenome
Description: partial contains 5.8S ribosomal RNA, internal transcribed spacer 2, and large subunit ribosomal RNA
Source: RNAcentral
AACAAGGCGUACCUGCGGACCUGCGGAGGGAUCAUUACCGAGUGCGGGUCCCCUCGCGGGGCCCAACCUCCCACCCGUGUCUACCGUCACCUGUUGCUUCGGCGGGCCCGCCUUCGUGCCGCCGGGGGGCCCUCUGCGCCCCCGGGCCCGCGCCCGCCGAAGACUCUAGGAACACUGAAUGAAGGAUGCCGUCUGAGUCAAACGACACAAUCGUUAAAACUUUCAACAAUGGAUCUCAGA